This 468-nucleotide ribosomal RNA is filed under the name Typhlatya dzilamensis. Its description in RNAcentral is "partial large subunit ribosomal RNA". It matches the Rfam family "Bacterial large subunit ribosomal RNA", at positions 1858 to 2580 of the family's 2925-position model. Lineage: Eukaryota; Metazoa; Arthropoda; Malacostraca; Decapoda; Atyidae. The record is from RNAcentral.
CCUGCCCACUGAAUUAUUAAAGGGCCGCGGUAUUUGGACCGUGCUAAGGUAGCAUAAUCAAUAGUCUUUUAAUUGGAGUCUAGUAUGAACGGUCGGAUGGAAUAUGAUUUGUCUUCGAGUGUAAAUAUUGAAUUUUACUUUUGAGUGAAAAGGCUUAAAUUGUGUAGGGGGACGAUAAGACCCUGUGAAGCUUUAUUUUUGCUUUGAUUUUAGGGCUCAAUAAUUGUGUAGUUGGGUUUAAGUUUAGCAGAUAUUUGGUUGGGGCGACUGGAAUAUAUUUGUAACUGUUUUUGUUAGUAAAAUAAGUGAUUUUUAGGGUAUUGAUCCUGUGUUGUGGAUUAUAAGAUUUAAGUUACUCCAAGGAUAACAGCGUAAUUUUUCUUGAGAGUUCUUAUCGACAGAAUAUUUGCGACCUCGAUGUUGAAUUAAGGUUUCAUCAAGAUGCAGAAGUCUUGCUUGUAGGUCUGU